Molecule: ribosomal RNA, 229 nt
Filed under: uncultured bacterium
Lineage: Bacteria
Description: partial 16S ribosomal RNA
Rfam family: Bacterial small subunit ribosomal RNA
Source: RNAcentral
UGCGCAGGUGGGCUUGUAAGUCAGUGGUGAAAUACUGCCGCUUAACGGGAGAACUGCCAUUGAUACUGCGGGUCUUGAGUAUGGUUGAGGUAGGCGGAAUGUGUUGUGUAGCGGUGAAAUGCAUAGAUAUGACACAGAACGCCGAUUGCGAAGGCAGCUUACUAAGCCAUUACUGACACUGAGGCACGAAAGCGUGGGGAGCGAACAGGAUUAGAUACCCUGGUAGUCC